RNAcentral lists this ribosomal RNA (427 nucleotides) under uncultured bacterium. Its description in RNAcentral is "partial 16S ribosomal RNA". It matches the Rfam family "Bacterial small subunit ribosomal RNA", at positions 355 to 774 of the family's 1533-position model. The record is from RNAcentral.
UGGGGAAUAUUGCACAAUGGGCGCAAGCCUGAUGCAGCCAUGCCGCGUGUAUGAAGAAGGCCUUCGGGUUGUAAAGUACUUUCAGCGAGGAGGAAGGCGUUGUGGUUAAUAACCGCAGCGAUUGACGUUACUCGCAGAAGAAGCACCGGCUAACUCCAUGCCAGCAGCCGCGGUAAUACGGAGGGUGCAAGCGUUAAUCGGAAUUACUGGGCGUAAAGCGCACGCAGGCGGUCUGUCAAGUCGGAUGUGAAAUCCCCGGGCUCAACCUGGGAACUGCAUCCGAAACUGGCAGGCUAGAGUCUUGUAGAGGGGGGUAGAAUUCCAGGUGUAGCGGUGAAAUGCGUAGAGAUCUGGAGGAAUACCGGUGGCGAAGGCGGCCCCCUGGACAAAGACUGACGCUCAGGUGCGAAAGCGUGGGGAGCAAACA